RNAcentral lists this ribosomal RNA (1921 nucleotides) under seawater metagenome. Its description in RNAcentral is "bacterial LSU rRNA". It matches the Rfam family "Bacterial large subunit ribosomal RNA", at positions 811 to 2756 of the family's 2925-position model. The record is from RNAcentral.
GUGGUUAGGGGUGAAAUGCCAAUCGAACCCGGAGCUAGCUGGUUCUCCCCGAAAUGUGUUUAGGCACAGCGGUUGUGUACCUUGUAGAGGGGUAAAGCACUACUUCGCUGCGGGCUGCGAGAGCGGUACCAAAGUGACGUAAACUCAGAAUACUCUGCAAGCAUCAGCCAGUCAGACGGUGGGGGAUAAGCUUCAUCGUCGAAAGGGAAACAGCCCAGACCACCAGCUAAGGUCCCAAAAUGAAUGCUAAGUGAUAAAGGAGGUGGGGGUGCUUUGACAACCAGGAGGUUUGCUUAGAAGCAGCAAUCCUUGAAAGAGUGCGUAAUAGCUCACUGGUCAAGCGCUCCUGCGCCGAAAAUGAACGGGGCUAAGCAUUCUACCGAAGCUGUGGACUACUACGGUAGUGGUAGGGGAGCGUUCUAUAUAGGGUGAAGCACUAGCGGCAAGCAGGUGUGGACAGUAUAGAAGUGAGAAUGUCGGCUUGAGUAGCGAAAACAUAUGUGAGAAUCAUAUGCCCCGAAAUCCUAAGGUUUCCUCCGGAAGGCUCGUCCGCGGAGGGUUAGUCAGGGCCUAAGGCGAGGCUGAAAAGCGUAGUCGAUGGACAACGGGUUAACAUUCCCGUACUGAUUAAAGAUUGUGGCGGGGGACGGAGAAGGUUUAGUAUUAGCCGGAUGAUGGUUACCGGUGUAAAGCCACGAGGUUAUGAGGAACGGAGAAAACGUUCUGAGCUAAGUGCUGAGUCCAAGGAGCUACGGCUCUGGAGUAAUACGAAUCAUACUUCCUAGAAAAGCCCGGACCACGUUAAUUUUUAAUCACCUGUACCCGAAACCGACACAGGUAGGAAGGUAGAGAAUACUAAGGGGCGCGAGAUAACUCUCUCUAAGGAACUCGGCAAAAUGACCCCGUAACUUCGGGAGAAGGGGUGCCUGCUUAACGGCAGGUCGCAGUGAAUAGGCCCAAGCGACUGUUUACCAAAAACACAGGUCUCCGCUAAGUCGCAAGACGCAGUAUGGGGGCUGACGCCUGCCCAGUGCCGGAAGGUUAAGGAAGUUGGUUAGUUUCGACGAAGCUAGCGACCGAAGCCCCGGUGAACGGCGGCCGUAACUAUAACGGUCCUAAGGUAGCGAAAUUCCUUGUCGGGUAAGUUCCGACCCGCACGAAAGGCGUAACGAUUUGGGCACUGUCUCGGAGAGAGGCUCGGCGAAAUAGGAUUGUCUGUGAAGAUACGGACUACCUGCACUUGGACAGAAAGACCCUAUGAAGCUUUACUAUAGCUUGGAAUUGUGUUCGGGCUUCCCUUGCGCAGUAUAGGUGGGAAGCGUAGAGAUUUUCCUCGUGGGGAAAAUGGAGCUAACAGUGAGAUACCACUCUAGGGAGGCUAGAAUUCUAACUUCUAUCCGUUAUCCGGAAGAAGGACAGUUUCAGGUGGGUAGUUUGACUGGGGCGGUCGCCUCCUAAAAAGUAACGGAGGCGCGCAAAGGUUCCCUCAGGCUGGUUGGAAAUCAGCCGAAGAGUGCAAAAGCAUAAGGGAGCUUGACUGCGAGACCUACAAGUCAAGCAGGGUGGAAACACGGCUUUAGUGAUCCGACGGCACCGCGUGGAAGGGCCGUCGCUCAACGGAUAAAAGUUACUCUAGGAUAACAGGCUGAUCUCCCCCAAGAGUUCACAUCGACGGGGAGGUUUGGCACCUCGAUGUCGGCUCAUCGCAACCUGGGGCUGUAGUAGGUCCCAAGGGUUGGGCUGUUCGCCCAUUAAAGCGGUACGUGAGCUGGGUUCAGAACGUCGUGAGACAGUUCGGUCCAUAUCCGGUGUAGGCGCAAGAGCAUUGAGAGGAGCCUUCCUUAGUACGAGAGGACCGGGAAGGACGCACCGCUGGUGUACCUGUUAUCGUGCCAACGGUAAACGCAGGGUAGCCAAGUGC